RNAcentral lists this signal recognition particle RNA (148 nucleotides) under Chlorocebus sabaeus (green monkey). RNAcentral's name for it is "Metazoan signal recognition particle RNA". It matches the Rfam family "Metazoan signal recognition particle RNA". Rfam says of the family: The signal recognition particle (SRP) is a universally conserved ribonucleoprotein. It is involved in the co-translational targeting of proteins to membranes. The record is from Rfam by way of RNAcentral. Lineage: Eukaryota; Metazoa; Chordata; Mammalia; Primates; Cercopithecidae.
GCUGGGCAUGGUGGCGCCUGCCUGUAAUCCCAGCUACUUGGGAGGCUGAGGCAGGGGAAUCACUUGAGCCCAGGAGGUGGAGGCUGCAGUGAGCUGAGAUUGCACCACUGCACUCCAGCCUGGGCGACAGAGUGAGACUUUGUCUCAA